RNAcentral lists this long non-coding RNA (2649 nucleotides) under Olea europaea subsp. europaea. The stretch from base 2034 to 2140 matches the Rfam family "Plant small nucleolar RNA R71". Lineage: Eukaryota; Viridiplantae; Streptophyta; Magnoliopsida; Lamiales; Oleaceae. The record is from RNAcentral.
GAACCACUUUCUUGAAUUUUAAAACUUCCAAAUUCGAGUCCUUCUUUGUUUUGUAAUCUCACUCACAUCCGGUUUGGAUUUCACGAGACUAAUUCCUUGGUCGAGUUCCAAUUUGUUUUUUGAAGCACGUAGUGAAAGCAACGAGCGGUAAAAGGCAGAGUGGUAAGAUCAAUUGAGGGUAAAAGCCAAAUUGAAUGAAUUCCAAGCGAACUUGGUGAAGCAGAAAAAAGUUAGAUUAUAGGAUGUCUGACAUGGAAGGAACACAUUCUGGCAGGGACAAUGAUCAACUUAACAUGAUGGCGUAAUCGAUACUGUGGAUGAAAAGGAUGAUGGGGGACGUGAGGGAUUGAUUGGAUCGACAGGAUGUGCGGUUAGAUAGGCUUAAUCCAAUGCCUGCUUAUCAUCGACGGGGAGCCAAUAAUGCAUGGCGGAAUGGAAGGCGGGAAGUUAGGAUAGAUGAUCAGAAUGACUUUGAGGCUGAUAGUGGAUUCGAUGAGGAUGCACUUGUGGAUGCAGAGGUUGGAAGGGUUAGGAAUAGAGGUGUUAGGCAAGGUGUGAGAGGUAGGAUUCUUGGUGGAGAUGAGUUGGAUGGUAAUUUGGGAAAUAUUAAAAUGACCAUUCCUUCUUUCAAAGGGAGGAGUGAUCCGGAGGCGUACUUAGAGUGAGAGAAGAAGAUUGAGUUGAUAUUCGAUUGCCACAACUACUCGGGGGAGAAAAAGGUGAAAAUUGCGGUUCUUGAGUUCUCUGACUAUGCAAUAGAUGAAGAGGCGGAGGAUUGGGGCACAACUUAUAAAUACUUAGGUGGAGUUUAAGAUGUUAAUGCGGAAACGGUUUGUACCUAAUCACUUUUAUUGGGAGCUUCAUCAGCGGUUACAAAAUCUAUAUCAAGGCACUAGGAGCGUAGAUGAUUACCAUAAAGAGAUGGAGAUGCUUAUGAUUAGGGUGAACGUGGAAGAGGAUAGGGAAGCCACUGUGGCUCAAUUUUUGAGGGGGUUGAAUAGGGAUAUUGCCAAUUGAUGUGAAGCUUUUUGAAGACCUCAAGGAAUUUUGUAUACUGCCUGUCUAACUUGUGUUUUUGCAGCCUCUAAGGAAAUGGAAUUGGCGGCUCGUAUGGUUUAAUAGGAGUAGUUUCCUUAACUUGCGGUGUAUUUGAACUCUCUUUGAUAGAUGUAUCUGUUGUUUGUUCAAUCUGUUCUGCAUGCUCUUCAUCAGUAGAGGGUACUUUUUCCUUAUUUACAGUUGGCCUCUUAACAUGGAACUCAGGUAAUUGGACCCCACUUCUAGUAGUAAUUGCUUUGACGUGUUCUUUGGGAUUAACCUCUGUAUUGCUUGGCAAUGUACUUGGUGUUCUGCCCGAUAUAGCUUGUGCCAUCUGUCCCAUUCGAGUCUCCAAGUUUUUAAUUGCAGCACUUUGAUUCUGGAUAGUUGUCUCAGUCUUCCUCAUAAAUUGAUUAUUCGCAUCCAUGUACUGAUAUGUCUUUUCCAUGAAUUUACCAAACAUCUCUUCCAAGGAAGUUCUCUUAUCUGCUUGCUGAAACUGAGAACCAUGUGGUGCAGUGAGAUCCUGAUUGCUCCAGGAAAAAUUUGGGUGCUUCCUCCAACUAGGGUUGUAGGUGUCAGAAUAUGGAUUAUUUUGUUGGCGUUGACCCCCUUGUAUGAAAUCAACGUGUUCCGUACCUUGUAUAUGAAUUGGACAAUUUACUGUAUUGUGAUCCGCCCCACAUUCUUCACAACUUGCUCUUUUAGCCUGUACUACAUUAGCUGACUGUGACAUGCUCUCUACCUUAUGAACCAAAGAGUCAAUUUUUGCAGACAACACUGUAUACGUAUCCACCUCAUAAACUCCAGGUACUUUCUUGUGAACAACACACUCAGAGGCCCACAUGGCUGUGGUAGUAGCCACUCUCUCAAACAAUUCCAAAGCUUCAUCAAUUGUCUUUGUGGAUAAGGAGCCAUUGGAUGAUGAGUCAACCAUGCUUUUAUAAGAUGGAAGUAGACCUGCAUAAAAAUAUUGGACCUGAAGCCCCUUGCUGAUGCCAUGAUGAGGGCACUUCCGAAGUAUGUUCUUGAAUCUAUUCCAAGCUUCAUCAAAGGAUUCGAUUUCUCCCUGCCGAAAUAUGGAUAUGUCAUGCUUCAACUUCGCAAUCUUAGCUGGUGGGAAGAAUUUGGUGCAAAAUUUUUGAGCCAAGUCAUUCCAAAUGGUGAUACUAGCAAUAGGCUGUGAAUCUAACCAUUCAAGCGCUCUAUCCCGUAGAGUAUGUGGAAAUAAUCUCAAUUUGAUUGCAUUAUCUGAAAUUCCUUGAUAUUUAAAGUGUUGCCACAUCUCCAAAAAUCGAGAGACAUGUGUAUGUGGAUUUUCAUCAGACCUGCCAUAAAAUUGAUGUCCAUUUUGGAAUAAAUGAAUGACAUUGGUCUUCAGUUGAAAGUUUGGUUGUCCAAAUGGAGGAUAAACGAUGCUAGAUUGGCUUUGAAUAAUUUGUGGUGUCAUAAAGUCCCCAACUAGCACGUUUCCUUCAUUAACCACUGCUUCUUCGUUCACUUGAAAAAUUGGAUUAUUCUGUCCGUUGGCCAUCUCUUGUUGUUUUAUUUCUCUUGCUUCUCUUUGCCUACGGUGAAAAGUACGUUCGAUUUCUGGAUCAGUUGGUAUCA